CACGUAGUUAGCCGGGGCUUCUUGGUCAGGUACCGUCAUCUUCUUCCCUGCCGAUAGGGCUUUACGCGCCGAAACGCUCCUUCACCCACGCGGCGUCGCUACAUCAGGGUUCCCCCCAUUGUGCAAUAUCCCCCACUGCUGCCUCCCGUAGGAGUCUGGGCCGUGUCUCAGUCCCAGUGUGGCCGUCCACCCUCUCAGGCCGGCUACUGAUCGUCGCCUUGGUAGGCCGUUACCCUGCCAACCAGCUAAUCAGACGCGGGCCCAUCCUGUACCACCGGGGUUUUCCGCGCCAUGCCAUGCGGCACGCCGCGCUUAUGCGGUAUUAGCACCUGUUUCCAGGUGUUAUCCCCCAGUACAGGGCAGGUUGCCCACGCGUUACUCACCCGUCCGCCACUCGCGCGGCGCCGCAGGGGCCGAGGCCCCUGCCGCACGCCGCGCCCGUUCGACUUGCAUGUGUUAGGCACGCCGCCAGCGUUCAUCCUGAGCCAGGACUCAAACUCUCUGAACUGACCG
RNAcentral lists this ribosomal RNA (513 nucleotides) under uncultured Eubacteriales bacterium. Its description in RNAcentral is "uncultured Clostridiales bacterium partial 16S ribosomal RNA". Lineage: Bacteria; Bacillati; Bacillota; Clostridia; Eubacteriales. The record is from RNAcentral.